ACAUGCAAGUCGAACGGCAGCGGGAAGAAAGCUUGCUUUCUUUGCCGGCGAGUGGCGAACGGGUGAGUAAUGUAUCGGAACGUGCCCAGUAGCRGGGGAUAACUGGCCGAAAGGUCAGCUAAUACCGCAUACGCCCUACGGGGGAAAGGGGGGGAUUCUUCGGAACCUCUCACUAUUGGAGCGGCCGAUAUCGGAUUAGCUAGUUGGUGGGGUAAUGGCCUACCAAGGCGACGAUCCGUAGCUGGUUUGAGAGGACGACCAGCCACACUGGGACUGAGACACGGCCCAGACUCCUACRSGAGGCAGCAGUGGGGAAUUUUGGACAAUGGGGGAAACCCUGAUCCAGCCAUCCCGCGUGUGCGAUGAAGGCCUUCGGGUUGUAAAGCACUUUUGUCAGGGAAGAAAAGGUUCUGGCUAAUACCCGGAACUGAUGACGGUACCUGAAGAAUAAGCACCGGCUAACUACGUGCCAGCAGCCGCGGUAAUACGUAGGGUGCAAGCGUUAAUCGGAAUUACUGGGCGUAAAGCGUGCGCAGGCGGUUCGGAAAGAAGGAUGUGAAAUCCCAGGGCUCAACCUUGGAACUGCAUUCUUAACUACCGAACUAGAGUAUGUCAGAGGGGGGUAGAAUUCCGCGUGUAGCAGUGAAAUGCGUAGAUAUGCGGAGGAAUACCGAUGGCGAAGGCAGCCCCCUGGGAUAAUACUGACGCUCAUGCACGAAAGCGUGGGUAGCAAACAGGAUUAGAUACCCUGGUAGUCCACGCCCUAAACGAUGUCAACUAGCUGUUGGGCCCUUCGGGGCUUAGUAGCGUAGCUAACGCGUGAAGUUGACCGCCUGGGGAGUACGGUCGCAAGAUUAAAACUCAA
This 865-nucleotide ribosomal RNA is filed under the name Advenella sp. 408B3_12AEMB. RNAcentral's name for it is "bacterial SSU rRNA". It matches the Rfam family "Bacterial small subunit ribosomal RNA", at positions 53 to 904 of the family's 1533-position model. Lineage: Bacteria; Pseudomonadati; Pseudomonadota; Betaproteobacteria; Burkholderiales; Alcaligenaceae. The record is from RNAcentral.